Molecule: transfer RNA, 61 nt
Filed under: Hirudo verbana
Lineage: Eukaryota; Metazoa; Annelida; Clitellata; Hirudinida; Hirudinidae
Description: tRNA-Phe
Source: RNAcentral
AUUCAGAUAGAUUAAUUAAAUCGUAUCAUUGAAGAUGAUAAAAUAAGUAUAUUUUUGAAUA